Molecule: long non-coding RNA, 1602 nt
Organism: Balaenoptera acutorostrata (minke whale)
Lineage: Eukaryota; Metazoa; Chordata; Mammalia; Artiodactyla; Balaenopteridae
Exons: 3
Source: RefSeq, a predicted model, not a curated record
GUUUGACAAGUACUGGUCUACGAAUGUUGUGCCCACAAGCCUGGGCUUUCAAGGCCAUUUUGUGACCAGGAGGAAAUAUCAAGAGAGUGGCAUAAUGACCUGCAACAGGAAGCAAAGGCAAAGCACAGCUGAUUUUAUGAUUGAAGAAAACAGGAAAAAUAAUGUGAAAAGAGAAGAAACUCCAAGGAGAGAAGAAUGCAAGCUAUAAGUGGUGUCUAGGAGGGCCAAAAGGAACCAUCAGCACAGAGGUGGCAUUUACAGGCUCAGGAGUGGAGUAGGUCCCAAGGGGAGAGUGUGGAUAGAGAAGAGAUGAGAAGGAGUCAGGAGAGACCUUUGAGACACACUAAUGUCUUGAAGCCAAGAAGAGGAAAAGGCGCCUGAGAAGUAGUCAGAAAUGUAAGGGUGCUAUAUUUAAUAGGCCCUUAUGUGCUAAUUAAAAAAAUAUUUUAAUGUAUUGAGGUAACAUUACAUAAAUUUCAUGUGUACGACAUUAUAUUUCGACUUCUGUAUACACUAUAGCUUGUUUACUGUCAAAAGUUUAGUUUCUGUCAGCCAGCAUACAGUUGAUCCCUUUACCCAUGUCUCCUUCCUCCCCAGUUCCCUUCUCCUCUGGUAAACACUACUCUGUUCUCUGUAUCUCAGUGUUUGUUUUCAUUUGGCUUGGUUAGAUCAUUUUUUUUUUUAAUUCCACAUAUAACUGAAACUUUUAUGUAGGUUAACCACUUUAAUCUUAAACUUCCAGAACUAGUUAGAAAGUGAAGUCUGUCCAAGCCCCUCCACUGGCCAGCUGUGUGACCUUGGGCAAGUCAACUAGCCUCUCUGUAACUCAGUUUCCUCACCUGUAAAAUGAAUUUAUAAAUAUAUCUACGUCAUAGGAUUUAUGGUUGGAUUAAAUGGAUGAAUAUGUAUAAAGCCCCUAGAACAGUGCUUAGGACCUUUAAAAUAAUAAUAAACUGACUUAUGACCAAGUCAUUGUUUUUAUCAACCAUGGUGCCACAGUGUGGAAAACUGAAAUAUUUCAUUUCAGAUAUCAUUUCCACCUUCAUUCCCCACAACCAAAUCUUUUUAUGAGAUGCUGAAUGUUAAUAAAACUCACUUUACUUUCUUUCUUGUCUAUGGAGUGACUAAGUAUACUGUUUUCCCCUCAGAAAAAAAGGUUAGUUCAGAGUUGGAAUGAGGCAAAAAUGCUCAUACAACUAGCCAACCAAAUAAUCAGCCCUCAUAUAAGUAUAUAAUGUGUUGACCAUUAUUUUUUUAAAGGUAUAUACUUAAAUGUUUUAUUCAUAGGUGCAUGGGAUUAAAAAGUUUAGAAGUCACUGAUUUAGACAAUGAUGUAUGGGUUUAGCUUUUCUACUGAGUAUCUUGGGUUUUAUCUCUGCCUGACCUCUCCUCUGCCCAAACUUCUCUCAACCUCCUAAAGUCUUUGUAAAGUGAAACAAAUUGCAAUAACUCCUCUGCAUGUACCUUUGUAUAAAUAUUUAUUCCAUAUUGUUACAUACUUGCUUGCAUAUUUUACAUUUGUCCACAUUAGUGUUGUCUUUCAUUAGUUCUGGCUAUUUAAAAUACUAAAGAUAUUAAUGAUUAAAUUUUCUUUUUGUAGUA